Molecule: ribosomal RNA, 159 nt
Filed under: Phlegmacium superbum
Lineage: Eukaryota; Fungi; Basidiomycota; Agaricomycetes; Agaricales; Cortinariaceae
Description: Cortinarius superbus 5.8S ribosomal RNA
Rfam family: 5.8S ribosomal RNA
About the family: 5.8S ribosomal RNA (5.8S rRNA) is a component of the large subunit of the eukaryotic ribosome. It is transcribed by RNA polymerase I as part of the 45S precursor that also contains 18S and 28S rRNA. Functionally, it is thought that 5.8S rRNA may be involved in ribosome translocation.
Source: RNAcentral
CAACUUUCAGCAACGGAUCUCUUGGCUCUCGCAUCGAUGAAGAACGCAGCGAAAUGCGAUAAGUAAUGUGAAUUGCAGAAUUCAGUGAAUCAUCGAAUUUUUGAACGCACCUUGCGCUCCUUGGUAUUCCGAGGAGCAUGCCUGUUUGAGUGUCAUUAA